Molecule: non-coding RNA, 71 nt
Organism: Parastagonospora nodorum SN15
Lineage: Eukaryota; Fungi; Ascomycota; Dothideomycetes; Pleosporales; Phaeosphaeriaceae
Source: the annotation of a RefSeq genome assembly
GGACAUGUGGCCCAGUGGUAAGGCAUCUACAUCUCAUGUAGGAGACCUGCGUUCGAUUCGCAGCAUGUUCA